Long non-coding RNA from Zingiber officinale, 2836 nucleotides. RefSeq lists it as uncharacterized. NCBI's taxonomy places the organism in Eukaryota, Viridiplantae, Streptophyta, Magnoliopsida, Zingiberales, Zingiberaceae. The record is from RefSeq and is a predicted model, not a curated record. The transcript is spliced from 2 exons.
CCAAAAAAACCCUUGGCAAAGUUAAACUCCAUCCAGCAAAAUCUAUCUACUGCCGAACCAAAACCCUCUGCGAUCCCUAAACUCCCUCCGCCAAAAUCUUUCUGCCACCGAACCAAAACCUUUGAUCGUCAAGUGGCAGAUCCCAACGCUGAGGUGAUCGACCAGUCUCUUCGCCUCCUUCGCCCCUAGCGCUAAGGAGACCCCUCGCACUGGCACGACUGCCUCCCGUAUGCUAUUGCGACUGCCACUCGUGCCGUCUAGUAUGCUGCUGCAUCUUCUUCUAGUUUGAUUUUGUUGCGCGUCGCUGUCGUUGCCUCGCCUGGAAGAAUCUCGAAUCUCGCUCGUCACUCCUUUUGAUCUCACUCUCCGAGAAGUCGCCAAGGAACCUAAGCGUGUCUAAUCGCCAGUCCAUUUUUUUUUUUUCAUUUUGACCCAUCUUGGUGCUUUUUUUCCUCCAUAUUUAUAGGUUUGCUGGAUUUCUCGGAUUCAUUGGUCUAGCAUAAUGGUGGUACAUUGAGUUUUUGUUUUUUUAUUCUUUGCAAUAAUAUUUGCGGUUGUUGAUGAUAAGAUUUCCCUCUGUUUUUUUUUUAAACUUAUCCUCCGGUGAUUUUUGUGAUGUUCAGAAUGCAAGAUUGCUUAAAGAUGAAGCUACCAAGGAGAAAGGAGAUCAUGCGAGAAUGAUAUAUCUAUUGGGUUGAAUCAAAAUUUUACAUUGAAAAAAUUUAAUAAAUAUCGUAGGGUUAAAAUGAUAUAUGAUAUCUUCAUUGGUAUAAGGACUUUUAGAGAGCCCAAAAGCAAAGUCAUAAGGGCCUAGGUCCAAAGUGGACAAUAUCAUGUCAUUGUAGAGAUAUGCGGACAUUCUUUAGGCAUAACAAAUGAAAUCAGAGUCAUGAUCUAAACCAAAUGUAAUGUGGGGUGACCUUGAACGAAGUUGAGGGUGGGUCCGGAGUAGGACAGGAUGAUCGGAUACUUGCGAGGAGGCCCGGAGUAAGUCAGGAUGACUGAAUGCUCGCAGGGAAGUUCGAAUUAGGUCAGGGUGAUCGGAUGCUCGUAGAGAGGCCCAAAGCAGGUCAGGGUGACCGGAUGCUCGCGGAUAGGUCCGAAGCAGGUCAAGAUUGAUUGGAUCCAGCUACUUAUGAGGAGGCCUGGAACAGGUCAAGAUGACCGGAUACUCGCGGGGAGGCUCGGAGCAGGUCAGGGUGACCAGAUGCUCGUGGGGAGGUGAGUAGGUCAGAGUAAUCGGAUGCUUGCAGGGAGGCCCGAAGUAGGUCAAGGUGACCGAAUGCUUGCGGGGAGGUCCGGAGUAGGUCAAGGUGACCGAAUGUUUGCGGGGAGAUCCAGAGCAGGUCAGGGUGACCAGAUGUUCGCGGGGAGGCUCGGACCAUAAGAGUAAUUGUGGUUCUUUGUUUGAGGGGAGGAUUGUUAGGGUUCAACCAAAGUCCCAUAUUGAAAACAUUUGGUAAAGAUCAUGGGGUUAAAAGGAUGUAUGAUAUCUCCAUUGGUAUGAGAUCUUUUGGGGAGAGCCCAAAAGCAAAACUAUCAGGGUCUAGGUCCAAAGUGGACAAUAUCAUGUCAUUGUGAAAAUAUAUGGAUAUCUUUUGGGCACAACAGUAUAGAUUUGAUUUAAUCAUUAGUAAAAAAUUAGUUAGACUAACAUUAAUCUCAAUUUGUGUAAUCGAGCUUGCUCUAGAGUUCUGAUAUGAUUUUUCUUUUAUGUUUUCCUAUAUGCUUAUGAAUCUCAGAUUGAGUUUGAUUAUAGGUUCUACGAACUUUUAGAUUUCUUUUUUUGCAUUUUAAAUUUAGUAUAAUUAGCAUCUUAUAUCUUGUUUCCUCAGUCUGUAAUUAUUACAUGGUUUAUUGUCGUUGUAGUAAUAACUCUUAGCACAUUUUAGUGGAACUAUGUUGAUGAGGAUGGAAACCUUUUUCCAAAUAGCUCCUGCAAUCGAGCGUGUGAUGUUAAGUUUUUUGGCAUUAUCAUGACUAGAUGAGCAUAUUAAACCACAGGACAAUGUCAAUCUAUUUACUUUUUACUAAUUAAUUGAUAGAUGUUGGAAGCACGAUUACUUGUUUGACACUAGAGAAGAUCAAUUCUCUGUAUGUGCAAAUUCAUAUAUCUUUUUAACAAAACUAUUCGUUUGUUGAUGGCUUAACUUUUGAUGUUAUGCAGGAAUCAUUUGUUGGUGCUAUGGCAGUUGUGAAUCUGGUCAAGACAACUUUUAAAUUUGAGGAUGUCGUAAUGUAGGAUAUCAUAGAUUAAACUAUUGUUUGUUGGGUUGGUCAACAGUUUAUAAAACAGCAUUUAUUAUUAUUUUUGUUAUUAUGUUCUUAUUUACAUUGUCAGGUUAUAGAACAAUUACUGAUGGUGUCUCUAGUUCACUUGCUAUUUUUGAAUACAAAUUAAUUAAUUGAACGAUAGGUUUUUAGUUGUAUUAUCUAUAUAAUGCCCUUGUGAUUUUGUAGGAUACAGAAUGGCUACUAAGUGUCCACAAAGUGCAUUGCUGCAAAAGGCAAAGGAUAACAAACAAAAUCCAGUCAAAAUUGAAGAAUGUGAGUCAUGGAGAUAUCGGUGAUAAUUCUAAAUGUAAGAUGCGUAUGUUGAUGGAGUUAUUGCAAAAGGUUGAAUUACAUCUACAAAUCCAAAACCAAAAGUGUAUCAUAUUCUUCUUGGUGGAUCUUGUUGGAAAGUUUGGAAUGAUAGAAUUUUUGUGGAGAAGAUGGACCUAAUUUGAUCAAAUGAAGAAAUAUUUUUUUAUCGAGGAUGCAAUAGGAAGCACAUUCGCUUGGUUAUUUAAGUUUAUAGUUUUGUAUGAGUUAUAUAGAUUUUACUUAUUUUAAA